UCGCAGGAUAAAAACGCAAUGCACAUCAUUUGGUGUGAUAGAGCUGGUAGGUAGCCCAGCCGUCUGAAAAUGUUUCAGGUAAGUAACCUUCCCCUCCGGGUUGUCCAUUUCUGCGAAAUA
This 120-nucleotide non-coding RNA is filed under the name chicken gut metagenome. RNAcentral's name for it is "yjdF RNA". It matches the Rfam family "azaaromatic riboswitch aptamer (yjdF RNA)". The record is from RNAcentral.